GCUGUAAUAGCUCAGUGGUAGAGCACUUCCUUGGUAAGGAAGAGGUCCUGAGUUCAACUCUCAGUUACAGCUCUA
Molecule: transfer RNA, 75 nt
Filed under: Streptococcus salivarius
Lineage: Bacteria; Bacillati; Bacillota; Bacilli; Lactobacillales; Streptococcaceae
Also listed under: 73 other names
Description: tRNA-Thr
Rfam family: tRNA
About the family: Transfer RNA (tRNA) molecules are approximately 80 nucleotides in length.
Source: RNAcentral